Long non-coding RNA from Mytilus trossulus (common blue mussel), 343 nucleotides. RefSeq lists it as uncharacterized. Lineage: Eukaryota; Metazoa; Mollusca; Bivalvia; Mytilida; Mytilidae. The record is from RefSeq and is a predicted model, not a curated record. The transcript has 3 exons.
AACCGUGGCAGUGUACGCCGCAUUUAAGCAAUCAAUUUAACGAUUGAAACUACAUAUUCAAAUUUUUUUAAAGGCUAUAGGAAUUACUAUCUAGUACCUUUCGAGGUAUAUUGAGGAGACAAUGCGCCACACAUUUUUUUUAAUAGUAUGCACAGAUAUGCUAAGUACAGUAUUUGGAUGUCCUACAUCAGUGUCUGGAUCGACGUAUCAUUGCGUCGGUAGUAGUAUUACGACAGUACCGUCUGGAAUUCCAAAUACAACAACAGUUUUGUUCCUGAAUAGAAAUCAAAUCAUUGAGAUUAAGGUAGAUGCAUUCCAAGGCAUGACGGUUCUUGAAGAGUUG